GGAUAACCUACCCUUAGGACCGGGAUAACCCUGGGAAACUGGGGAUAAUACUGGAUAGGCAAUUUUUCCUGUAAUGGUUUUUUGUUUAAAUGUUUUUUCGCCUAAGGAUGGGUCUGCGGCCGAUUAGGUAGUUGGUUAGGUAAUGGCUUACCAAGCCGUUGAUCGGUACGGGUUGUGAGAGCAAGAGCCCGGAGAUGGAACCUGAGACAAGGUUCCAGGCCCUACGGGGUGCAGCAGGCGCGAAACCUCCGCAAUGUGAGAAAUCGCGACGGGGGGAUCCCAAGUGCCAUUCUUAACGGGAUGGCUUUUCAUUAGUGUAAAGAGCUUUUGGAAUAAGAGCUGGGCAAGACCGGUGCCAGCCGCCGCGGUAACACCGGCAGCUCUAGUGGUAGCAAUUUUUAUUGGGCCUAAAGCGUCCGUAGCCGGUUUAAUAAGUCUCUGGUGAAAUCCUGCAGCUUAACUGUGGGAAUUGCUGGAGAUACUAUUAGACUUGAGACCGGGAGAGGUUAGAGGUACUCCCAGGGUAGAGGUGAAAUUCUGUAAUCCUGGGAGGACCGCCUGUUGCGAAGGCGUCUAGCUGGAACGGUUCUGACGGUGAGGGACGAAAGUUAGGGGCGCGAACCGGAUUAGAUACCCGGGUAGUCCUAACUGUAAACGAUGCGGACUUGGUGUUGGGGUGGCUUUGAGCUGCUUCAGUGCCGAAAGGGAAGCUGUUAAGUCCGCCGCCUGGGAAG
RNAcentral lists this ribosomal RNA (734 nucleotides) under uncultured archaeon. Its description in RNAcentral is "bacterial SSU rRNA". It matches the Rfam family "Archaeal small subunit ribosomal RNA", at positions 102 to 835 of the family's 1478-position model. The record is from RNAcentral.